RNAcentral lists this long non-coding RNA (2630 nucleotides) under Papio anubis (olive baboon). RNAcentral's name for it is "lncRNA (ENSPANG00000041370.1)". Lineage: Eukaryota; Metazoa; Chordata; Mammalia; Primates; Cercopithecidae. The record is from RNAcentral.
AUUAUAACUGAACCUAGGUGGAAAGGAUCUAGACGUGGAAGCUGUGGGUUCCCUGUUGAUGCUUUCCCAUGGCUCAAACUCAGUGUAGCUGAAAAUAACCUUCUGUAGCAGCCAAUAUGGCUAUUUUAGUUACAUCUCACAAAAAAGGAUGCUAUUUGAUUUUCUUUUAAUGAUGACUUUCUAAGUGUUUAUGAAUGUAGUAUUUCACAAAAUAAUAAGUUGUCAAAAAUAUGACUGGUUGUAAAUGAGCCAAAAUUAAAAGCAAAAUGACAUCUUUGUGUAGAGCCAAGCAAUCUUUAAAUAAAUUUUCUAAGCAUCAUCUCCUUACACCUUCAAGCAGACCUGCGAGAGAAUUCACUCAUAGUCUAAGGUCCUUUUGCAUAUGAGAAAAUAGACUCUCUAAGAGAAUCAUAGACUUGACAAAAGUGCCAUUCCUUUAAAAAAUGAGAAUGUUUCACUCUUUCUAAAUAUAUUAAAAAUGACAGAGGUAAGAAACUGUAGAGAUCACCAAAUUAAACGUACUGUAUCAAGGUGGCACUUGAGAUCUAAAAGACUUUAUUUUUUUAGAUACGGCCUCACUCUGUUGCCCAGACUGGAGUGCAGUGGUUUCAUCACAGCUCAUUGCAGCCUUGACCUCUGGGCUCAGGUGAUCCUCCUACCUCAGCCUCCUGGGCAGAUGCCACAUGCCACCAUACCUGGAGAUAUUGAGAUCAAUCACCAUACCUGGUGAUAUUGAGAUCAAUAGGCACAUGCCACCAUACCUGGUGAUACUGAGAGGUGACAACGUGCUGGCCACCCUCGCUCGCUCUCAGUGCCUCCUCCGCCUCGGUGUCAGCUCUGGCCACUCCUGAUGAGCCCUUCAGCCGCCGCUGCACUGUGGGAGCCCCUCUCUGGGCGCUGAGGCUGGAGCGGGCUCCCUCUAGUUGCAUGGAGGUGUGGAGGGAGAGGCGCGGGCGGGAACCUGGGUUGCGCGCGGCGCUCGAGGGCCAGCGCGAGUUCCGGGUGGGUGUGGUCUCGGCGGGCCCAGCACUCGGAGCGACCGACAGGCACCGCCGGCCCCGGGGCAGUGAGGGGCUUAGCACCCUAGCUAGCAGCUGCGGAGGGGGCACCGGCUACCCCAGCACUUCUGGCAUGCCCGCGCCGCGCUCGAAUUCUUGCUGGGCGUCAGCCGCCUCCCGGCAGGGCAGGUCUCAGGACCUGCAGCCCGCCAUGCCCGAGCCCCCCUCCGCGGUGGGCUCCCGCGCGGCCCGAGCCUCCCGGACGAGCGCCGCAGGGACCGCCCAAGGGCUGAGGAGUGCAGGCACAAGGGACACGGUUUUGCCAUGUUGCCCAGACUGGUCUCGAACUCUUGGGCUACAGUGAUUCACCUGCCUUGGCCUCCUAAAGUGCUGGAAUUACAGGCACAAGCCAAGAGGCAGUUUCCACAUCAUGCAGCAAGCAGAGGAUGGAACCCUGGUUCGUAAGUUUCAUUUUAAUGUGGUUUCAACUGGGUCUUGUGGUCUCAUUUUCCCUCUCUUCAUCAGCCCUAUUUCUUAUUCUCCUCCUCCCCGUUGUCGUCACCAUCCUCAUCACCACUAGAUUUCUUGGGUAAUAAUCAUAAUUAGUAGACUUUUACUGGGAAAUCCAAAGGGAUUGAAAUAAUGAGUGGAAAUAUGGAAGGUUCUAUUCAGCUUUCUGUGACAGAAAUUGGAAUGACAAUGAUUGAUGCUCCCUGGUGAACUUGAUCUAAUUUUGUUUAUAACUUUCUUUUCUUUUUUUUUUUUUUUUGGCUCAUAAUAUAAUUGCUUUUUUUAUUAUUAAACUUUAAGUUCUAGAGUACAUGUGCACAAUGUGCAGGUUUGUUACAUAUGUAUGCAUGAGCUAUGUUGGUGUGCUGCACCCAUCAACUCAUAAUUUGUAUCAGGUAUAUCUCCUAAUGCUAUCCCUCCCCUGCUUCCCCCACCCCACGACAGGCCCUGGUGUGUGAUAUUCCCCGCCCUGUGUCCAAGUGUUCUCAUUGUUCAAUUCCCAUCUAUGAGUGAGAACAUGCAGUGGUUGGUUUUUCGUCCUUGCGAUAGUUUGCUGAGAAUGAUGGUUUCCAGCUGCAUCCAUGUCCCUACAAAGGACAUGAACUCAUCCUUUUUUAUGGAUGCAUAGUAUUCCAUGGUGUAUAUGUGCCACAUUUUCUUAAUCCAGUCUAUUAUUGAUGGACAUUUGGGUUGGUUCCAAGUCUUUGCUAUUGUGAAUAGUGCCUCAAUAAAUAUAUUGUGCGUGUGUCUUUAUAGCAGCAUGAUUUAUAAUCCUUUGGGUAUAUAUCCAGUAAUGGGAUGGCUGGGUCAAAUGGUGUUUCUAGUUCUAGAUCCUUGAGGAAUCGCCACACUGUCUUCCACAAUGGUUGCACUAGUUUACAGUCCCACCGACAGUGUAAAAGUGUUCCUAUUUCUCCAGCACCUGUUGUUUCCUGACUUUUUAAUGAUUGCCAUUCUAACUGGUGUGAGAUGGUAUCUCAUUGUGGUUUUGAUUUGCAUUUCUCUGAUGGCCAGUGAUGAUGAGCGGUUUUCCAUGUGUCUGUUGGCUGCAUAAAUGUCUUGUUUCGUAAUUUAAAAAAGUUAUAAUUCAACUUAGCUCUAUAUACCAAAUUCUCACCUGUG